GAUUAACGCUGGCGGCGUGCAUAACACAUGCAAGUCGAACGAUGAAACUUAACUGAUUUCUUCGGAAUGAUUUUAAGUGGAUUAGUGGCGGACGGGUGAGUAACGCGUGAGUAACCUGCCUUGGAGAAGGGGAUAGCCUUUGGAAACGAAGAAUAAUACCCUAUGAUAUGAUAAUAUCUCAUGAUAUUAUCAUCAAAGAUUUAUCGCUCUAAGAUGGAUUUGCGUCUGAUUAGUUAGUUGGUGAGGUAACAGCUCACAAAGGCAGCGAUCAGUAGCCGGCUUGAGAGAGUGUACGGGCACAUUGGGACUGAGACACGGCCCAGACUCCGACGGGAGGCAGCAGUGGGGAAUUUUGCACAAUGGGGGAAACCAGGAUGCAGCGACGCCGCGUGAUUUAGAAGGCCUUCGGGUUGUAAAAAUCUUUUGUAUGGGAAGAAAAUGACAGUACCAUACGAAUAAGGACCGGCUAAGUACGUG
This 477-nucleotide ribosomal RNA is filed under the name uncultured bacterium. RNAcentral describes it as "partial 16S ribosomal RNA". It matches the Rfam family "Bacterial small subunit ribosomal RNA", at positions 28 to 507 of the family's 1533-position model. The record is from RNAcentral.